This 403-nucleotide ribosomal RNA is filed under the name uncultured bacterium. RNAcentral's name for it is "bacterial SSU rRNA". It matches the Rfam family "Bacterial small subunit ribosomal RNA", at positions 356 to 774 of the family's 1533-position model. The record is from RNAcentral.
UGGGAAUAUUGCACAAUGGGCGAAAGCCUGAUGCAGCGACGCCGCGUGAGUGAAGAAGGCCUUCGGGUCGUAAAACUCUGUCCUUGGUGAAGAAAAAAAUGACGGUAGCCAAGGAGGAAGCCCCGGCUAACUACGUGCCAGCAGCCGCGGUAAUACGUAGGGGGCGAGCGUUGUCCGGAUUUACUGGGCGUAAAGGGUGAGUAGGCGGUUGUAUAAGUCAGAUGUAAAAGGCACAGGCUUAACUUGUGUAAGCAUUUGAAACUGUACGACUUGAGUGCAGGAGAGGUAAGUGGAAUUCCUAGUGUAGCGGUGAAAUGCGUAGAUAUUAGGAGGAACACCAGUGGCGAAGGCGACUUACUGGACUGUAACUGACGCUGAGUCACGAAAGCGUGGGUAGCAAACA